AGCGAACGCUGGCGGCAGGCUUAAUACAUGCAAGUCGAGCGCCCGUAGCAAUACGGGAGCGGCAGACGGGUGAGUAACGCGUGGGAACGUGCCCUUCGGUUCGGAAUAACUCAGGGAAACUUGAGCUAAUACCGGAUACGUCCGUAAGGAGAAAGAUUUAUCGCCGAAGGAUCGGCCCGCGUCGGAUUAGCUAGUUGGUGAGGUAACGGCCCACCAAGGCGACGAUCCGUAGCUGGUCUGAGAGGAUGAUCAGCCACACUGGGACUGAGACACGGCCCAGACUCCUACGGGAGGCAGCAGUGGGGAAUAUUGGACAAUGGGCGAAAGCCUGAUCCAGCCAUGCCGCGUGAGUGAAGAAGGCCUUAGGGUUGUAAAGCUCUUUCAGCGGGAAGAUAAUGACGGUACCCGCAGAAGAAGCCCCGGCUAACUUCGUGCCAGCAGCCGCUGU
Molecule: ribosomal RNA, 448 nt
Filed under: uncultured bacterium
Lineage: Bacteria
Description: bacterial SSU rRNA
Rfam family: Bacterial small subunit ribosomal RNA
Source: RNAcentral